GCCGAAGUGGCGGAACUGGUAGACGCCCAGGACUUAAAAUCCUGUGUUCAGCAAUGAACGUGCGGGUUCGAUUCCCGCCUUCGGCA
Molecule: transfer RNA, 86 nt
Filed under: Chlorobiaceae bacterium
Lineage: Bacteria; Pseudomonadati; Chlorobiota; Chlorobiia; Chlorobiales; Chlorobiaceae
Description: tRNA-Leu
Rfam family: tRNA
About the family: Transfer RNA (tRNA) molecules are approximately 80 nucleotides in length. Their secondary structure includes four short double-helical elements and three loops (D, anti-codon, and T loops).
Source: RNAcentral